RNAcentral lists this ribosomal RNA (506 nucleotides) under uncultured bacterium. RNAcentral describes it as "partial 16S ribosomal RNA". It matches the Rfam family "Bacterial small subunit ribosomal RNA", at positions 30 to 523 of the family's 1533-position model. The record is from RNAcentral.
AUUGAACGCUGGCGGCAGGCCUAACACAUGCAAGUCGAACGGUAACAGGAAACAGCUUGCUGUUUCGCUGACGAGUGGCGGACGGGUGAGUAAUGUCUGGGAAAUUGCCUGAUGGAGGGGGAUAACUACUGGAAACGGUAGCUAAUACCGCAUAACGUCGCAAGACCAAAGAGGGGGACCUUCGGGCAUCUUGCCAUCGGAUGUGCCCAGAUGGGAUUAGCUAGUAGGUGGGGUAACGGCUCACCUAGGCGACGAUCCCUAGCUGGCCUGAGAGGAUGACCAGCCACACUGGAACUGAGACACGGUCCAGACUCCUACGGGAGGCAGCAGUGGGGAAUAUUGCACAAUGGGCGCAAGCCUGAUGCAGCCAUGCCGCGUGUAUGAAGAAGGCCUUCGGGUUGUAAAGUACUUUCAGCGGGGAGGAAGGGAGUAAAGUCAAUACCUUUGCUCAUUGACGUUACCCGCAGAAGAAGCACCGGCUAACUCCGUGCCAGCCGCCGCCGUAA